Molecule: ribosomal RNA, 253 nt
Filed under: uncultured bacterium
Lineage: Bacteria
Description: partial 16S ribosomal RNA
Rfam family: Bacterial small subunit ribosomal RNA
Source: RNAcentral
UACGUAGGGGGCAAGCGUUGUCCGGAUUUAUUGGGCGUAAAGGGCGCGUAGGCGGCACUGUUAGUCAGGCGUGAAAGUCCUGGGCUCAACCUGGGAACUGCGCUUGAUACGGCAGAGCUAGAGGAUGGAAGAGGGUCGCGGAAUUCCCAGUGUAGAGGUGAAAUUCGUAGAUAUUGGGAAGAACACCGGUGGCGAAGGCGGCGACCUGGUCCAUUACUGACGCUGAGGCGCGACAGCGUGGGGAGCAAACAGG